AGCCAGACUCCUACGGGAGGCAGCAGUGGGGAAUAUUGCACAAUGGGGGAAACCCUGAUGCAGCGACGCCGCGUGAGCGAUGAAGUAUUUCGGUAUGUAAAGCUCUAUCAGCAGGGAAGAAGAUGACGGUACCUGACUAAGAAGCCCCGGCUAACUACGUGCCAGCAGCCGCGGUAAUACGUAGGGGGCAAGCGUUAUCCGGAUUUACUGGGUGUAAAGGGAGCGUAGACGGCGAUGCAAGCCAGAUGUGAAAGCCCGGGGCUCAACCCCGGGACUGCAUUUGGAACUGUGUGGCUGGAGUGUCGGAGAGGCAGGCGGAAUUCCUAGUGUAGCGGUGAAAUGCGUAGAUAUUAGGAGGAACACCAGUGGCGAAGGCGGCCUGCUGGACGAUGACUGACGUUGAGGCUCGAAAGCGUGGGGAGCAAACAGGAUUAGAUACCCCGGUA
This 446-nucleotide ribosomal RNA is filed under the name uncultured bacterium. RNAcentral's name for it is "bacterial SSU rRNA". It matches the Rfam family "Bacterial small subunit ribosomal RNA", at positions 329 to 792 of the family's 1533-position model. The record is from RNAcentral.